Molecule: ribosomal RNA, 434 nt
Filed under: uncultured Ruminococcus sp.
Lineage: Bacteria; Bacillati; Bacillota; Clostridia; Eubacteriales; Oscillospiraceae
Description: partial 16S ribosomal RNA
Rfam family: Bacterial small subunit ribosomal RNA
Source: RNAcentral
ACGGGAGGCAGCAGUGGGGAAUAUUGCACAAUGGGCGCAAGCCUGAUGCAGCGAUGCCGCGUGAGGGAAGAAGGUUUUCGGAUUGUAAACCUCUGUCAUCGGGGACGAUAAUGACUGUACCCGAGAAGGAAGCUCCGGCUAACUACGGGCCAGCAGCCGCGGUAAUACGGAGGGAGAGAGCGUUAUCCGGAAUUACUGGGUGUAAAGGGAGUGUAGGCGGGACUGUAAGUCAGAUGUGAAAUAUGCCGGCUCAACUGGCAGACUGCAUUUGAAACUGCGGUUCUUGAGUGAAGUAGCGGUAAGCUGAAUUCCUAGUGUAGCGGUGAAAUGCGUAGAUAUUAGGAGGAACAUCAGUGGCGAACGCGGCUUACUGGGCUUUCACUGACGCUGAGGCUCGAAAGCGUGGGGAGCAAACAGGAUUAGAUACCCUGGUA